Molecule: non-coding RNA, 5614 nt
Organism: Sus scrofa (pig)
Lineage: Eukaryota; Metazoa; Chordata; Mammalia; Artiodactyla; Suidae
Source: RefSeq, a predicted model, not a curated record
CUAUAAAUAAUUAUAGAAAUAAAGAUUAGUAGUCCAUGUGCUAUAGUUAUAGUUUGAGAGCAAGAGAAUUUAUCCAGUCCAAUUAGGAAGGUGUCCCAUGGGGCAACAAAAAUGGGCUUAUAUUCCUACAUCCUGGAUCUACUGGAAUCUGGACUUCAACUACACUCAGACAUUUCAAAGGAAUCUGGUAGCAUUUCUGUUCUCAAACCUGUUGCAAAGCUUUCUGAUAACCUGUCUGGAUUGAAGAGAAUCAGCUGAACAAGCUGGCAUUUGGAGAGUUUACAGGAUAGAGAGUACCGGGGCUUGGGGCUCUAAGUGGACAGCCAUCUCCCUUCUGGCUCAUCCCCAGCUGAGGAUUGCUGCAAAGAGAAAUAGUCACUGGACAUGAGCCAGGGCACCAGUCAGCUUAACCAAAGGAAUCAAUGGACACUGUGUUUUUCCCCUGCAAAUGAGGAAAAUGACAUGGUGAGAAGGCAUAUGCCUUGUCCAGAAUCACAAAUCCCAGGGGCAGAGAAAGCAGCAAGAAAUGUUGCCUCAGAAGGAGCUUUUUCCCAUCGUGAGGAUGCUUGGAGCCUGGCCUUGAGUGAGGAGUGAGAUGCUGCUCUUCAGCUCCUAGGCAGUGGAGGUCCUGCAUGUUUUUAUGAGCCAUGGACAGUGAGUAGCCAUUCAAAAGGCUAAAGCUGCCUCUUAGAAAAAGGCAAAUAUUUUAGGAAUCCCUUGUUACUAGGCAAAGGUCUGUUCGCUUUUGAGGGGAGUGAGACUCAGCUUGAUGCUCUGUGUGUAGGGCUUCAAGCUUUGAUUCUGAUUUUGCUUCAGUGGAAUAGUGGUUCUCAGUUUUGGCUUCAUAUUAGAAUUAGUUAUGGAGCUCUAAAAACUACAGAUGUCCCGGCCCCACUUCCAGAAGGCUGGCUUCAAUUGGCCUAUAAUAAAUAGGACUGAGAUGUCAGUGUUGUUAAAAAAGCUCUUAGUGAUUUUAGUAUGCAGUUUAGGAUUGAGAAGAAGCCUCCUUCUUAUGUUUCCUCUCCUCUCAGCUGGUAAGAACUAAGCCACAAGACAAAACUAUCCCCCAAAAAUAUUUCUCAGACUUUAGGGAAUUAUCUGGGGAUCUCGUUAAAAUGCAGGUUCUGAUUCAGGAGGUCUGAGAUAGGGCCUGAAAUUCUGAUUUCUAACAAUCUCUCAGAUGAUGCUGACACUGCUGGUCUCAAGACUGAUAGUCUAGAAGUGGUCCUCCUAUUUCACUGAACAUAAAAAUGACCUGAUAAGCCUGUUGAAAAAGCAGAUUCCAGGGCUGAUUCAGAAUGUCAGGAAUGGAGUCCAGGAAGUUCAUCUAUAACAACUUUUCAGUGUUUUUGGGCAUCAUGGUUAUGCAGCCACAAUGCUCUGGGGGUCUCUCCUUGGAUCUUACACUGCUUGUUUUGGCUUACGGACCAGUGCAUACUUUUAUGGCCAUUCAUUACUACAGGAAUGAAAAUAAGGCCCUUGAACCACUCCCCACCAUCCUAAAGCAGCUUCUUCUUACAUGGCCUUGGAUCAGCUCGCCAUCCACGUCCAACAGAACAAAUGCUAGCACAGGGGUCUUCCGUGGCUGAGACAGGUUCUGUGACUUGCAUUUGACUGAUGAAAUAUGGCAGAAGUGACACUGUGUGACUUCUGAAGCUUGUGCAGAAGAUGCUUUGCAUCAUCUUCCAGGAGUUCUUGAAACACUUUUUGGGACCCAGCUACCACAUAGUGAGAAGACCCAGCCACACACAGGUGCUCCAGUGGACAGCCCCAUCUGUGCUCCAAGCCAGCAUCAACUGCCAGCCUUGUGAAUGAACCACCUUGGACUUUCAGCCCCAUUGAGCCUGCAGACAACUCCAACCCUACAUACUGCAUGACUGCAGUAGGAUGAAAUAGAUAAACAGGCCCAGGGAGGUUUUGUGCCUAGCUUGAGUCAACACUGCUCUGGUGGUGGUCAGUCUCCUGCUGCUCGGUCCACAGUGCACACUAUUUCUGCUCUCUCUGGCUGGAGAGUCAGGGAAACUGUUGAGCCUACGAUAAUGAAGUCAAUUCUGAUCAACUGAGAUGCAGGAGGAACUCUGAGCAAGAUGAAGAAGGGGUGAAUGGUGACCUGUUCAGCCUGGCUGUUGGGCAUCCCCGGCUUUCAGCAGCACUGGAGGAAACGGAGCCAUGAUGGGCAACACACCAGGCAACAGCCGGGUCCUGCAAUGACUGGAAACUCAGCCAGCGGUUUCCAGGAGAUUCUCCACUCACCAGGAAAUUGCCCAGCUGAAUGGAGACAGGGAGUUGCUCCUCUGGUCCUCAGAAAGGAAAGAGAACCAGCAACGACUGCCUCUUCCACUGGCAUCUCUACCUGGUCAAAGAACCAACCAGUCACAAAAGAAAACCUUGGUGAACAUCAGUGGGGAGAAUGAAAUUAUGCUCAAUCAGCAGGAUGACCUCAAAAUGAUGAGGAAACAAGUUCACAGUGGAUUAGGAAUGUGCCUGAGUUCAUCCAGAGCCUGAAGAGGCCAUUGGUUCUAUGCCCCAAUGCCUGUAUAUAUGAUGGGACAGUGAAUCUGGGUGCUUUCUGUGCUCCAUGUGGAGAAGGUGAAGCAGUCACUCUUGUCAUCUCUCUAAAGAACUGAGUUGGAGCGCGUCUUUGGAUAGGAGCCGUGCUGCUGCUGACUGGGGAAGAGGUGUGGUCUAAUGGUGACUGAGCCUGCCAGAAUUUUGAAACAGACAGGUGUCCAGAUCAUCUUGGCUCAUCUGGAUUUUGGAUGCUUUGUCACUGAGAAGAUUAGGAAGAUGAGGCUCAGAAAAAUGAAGUGACAUACCUCUGAGUGAGGCAAAGCUGAGUCUGGUGACUCCAAACCGCAGUGAGCUGCUGCAUCCCUGGUGAUGAGACGGGCUUCCUGCUUUCAUACAAAGCUCUCGAGUCUUCUCCAAAGAGUACACCCAAGACCUUGCCCGGUAAAACUGGAUGACUUUCCUCAGGCAUAGGAAAGGUAACAUUCCAGGAAUGGAGGUUGAAGUCAAGAGAUUUAGGGGCACCAAGGGCAAACUUUCUACUUCACAGAUUUUCAAAGGACUGGCAUUCUGAGCAGCAUCAAGUAUGUUAGUAGCUGAGCCCAUUCGUGGUACUUCAUAAACACUCGAAUUCUUGAGACCCUCAUGUUCCACUCUUCUACAGUAUAUAGUUGGUUAAAAGUCCCCAUUUUUCUGGUAAUAGCAUUCUUGGAAAUUGUGCUUUGAGAUCAGUCCUUCUGGGAAAGGCAUAACCUACUGAAGAGGUACUGAGAAGAGUUGAAACCAUAAAUGUCGAGCUUACCCAGGAGAGUAAGUAUAAACCGCUUGCAUCUUUCAGGCUGAAUUAUAGCUUAUCAAGCACACAUUAAAACUUUAAGCCUUUUUUUCCUUAAGUAAGAAUAAAUCUAAGUUGACUAUUCCAGCAUAUGUAUUUGUUUUCCCUACACUGUCUAUAAACCAUGUCCAAGGUGAGUAUUUAUAAGCCUGAGCGAAAACUAGACAAACAAUUCUGAGAAUAAGUGACAACUAUAACAGUUCGUGAUAAGACAGUCACAACAAAGGAAAUGCUAUGCAUUAAGUGAUUUUUCUUGCAAAUCCUUUAUACAUAUGUCAGGCUGUGUGCUGGCAGAGUGAAAGAGAAUAAAUCAAAGGGAAUACACGUGUAAGAAAGGGUUUUUAGGCAAACGCUGUCUUGCAUGCAUAAAUCAAAUAAAUAGUGAUUUAAAAAAAAACCCAAAGGAACAGGAUAGUUUCUAUGGAAUUUUACACAAUUAAGUUAUUUAGUAGUUGCACAACAAUUUGUAUUUAUGGAGCACUUUACAAUUAUUUGUUCAUUAAAUCUUAUGACAUUUCUGGCAAGCAGGUCUAUACCAUCAGUUUAAUUUUAUAGUCAAGGUAGAUGAAGCAAGGAAUUGUAAAGGAGCUUUCUGAAGGUUGCACAGCUAGGUUUGAGCAGGACUUACUUUAGAACUCUUGCUUCCACAAUCUUGAGUUGCAGUCCUGGGUGGAUGUUCAGUUGCCUCUUAGCUCCCUUCUAGAGGAGGGAUGAGUCAUGAGGCAUACCUGGACAUCCAGAGAAGGGUGUUUGUUAAAGGCAGUAGCUCCUGGCAGUUAAUCUAGAAGCACCAGUGUUUGGUAUUGGCAUUAGCAUUGCAGCUGGAAUAUGGACCCAUUGGCAUGUUGACACAUGUGUAUAUGAUACAAACACUCAUCUGCAAUAGAGCCUCAUUUGAGAUGUUCAUAUUGGUAGUCUAAAGCUGUAAUUAGCCCAGGGCAUGAUACCUGGCAGGGGGGUGUGCUUUAAAAAUAAACUAAUGCCCCAGGAUGAAUUGAAUCUAUGAGACUAGGGCUUGGACAGGGAUAUUUUCAAAGAGUGACCAGGUUUUUCUGACUUGUGGUCAGAGUUGAGAACCACUGGUAUAAAAAUCCUUCCAUGUCUGUAGCAGUUUGGCAGUUUGUUCACUGCAAAAAGACAGAUGACGGAGCGACUAGUGAGGGCUCAAACUCAGCUCACACACAGUGUGCCCUAAUUUUGAGGUGGCUUUUGUUCUCAGAAAAAGUGUCACCUAUUGUCUAAUUCCCACCAAGGAAGCCCCAAGUCAUUCCCUUACUCUUGUAUAUGCAUUAUUGUAUAUCCUACGUAUUUCAUUUUCAGCUUAUUUUCACUCCUGCAUGCUUAGAACUUGAUAUACAAGAGGAUACAGCAACAAAACCAUCACAGUCUUGUCCCUAUAGAGUCCACAGUCUGUUGAGAAGAAAAGCGACAGAACAGGGAGCUCCACAACAUGGGAAGUGCUCCAGUAGGCAUGAGUGCAAGAAGCUGGGGAGGACAUUGGAUGGGCACUCCACCCAGACCUGGGGCACCAAGGGACCUUGUAAUGGAGGUGGUAUAAAAGGGAAGGAGUAGCAUUCAUAGCUGAAUGGCAGCAUUUGAAAAAACCUGGAAUUGAGAGACACUGAGGAUUACUGGGGAACUGGCAGUGGUUCAGCCCUUCCUGAUGGAGGGUGGAGGGAAUAAAAGCUGGAGGGGGAGCUGGGAGUGCAGCAAGUUGUCCCAGUCUUCCAACAGCUGGGAUGGCCACUUGCAAGCCUAAUUACUGUACUGGGCUCCUCAGUCUUAUCUUUCUCUUUCCAUCUUUCCUCUCUCCCUAGGUCCCACCUUCUUUUCAGAUACAGUCCUGAAAAGAAGAGCAGAAAGCACCAAUUCCAAGUGUACUCUACUUCCUGUAAUCUCCAGCUCUAGGUACUGAAAAGAAACAAAAAGCUUGGUAGCAGGCAAAGGAACAAACACUUGUAGGGAUGCAGAUGUCCCUGCCUCACUUGGUGCCACCUGGAAAAACCUCUAAUUGGCUCAAAUCCCUCCUUUCUUACCACUUUUAAUUGAUAUGCCUGGUCCUGAACUCACAUUCAACAUUCCCAUCCUAAUUCCUGGACUGGUGGGGGUGGCAUGGAGGUGGAAAAUGGGGUGGUAUGAAUGAAACAUGCUUGGGCAUGAACUCAUGAAAUUACUGAAGCUGGUGGUGAGUACAUGAGCAUUGACUAUACUAGCUCCUCUAUUUCUGAUUACGUUUGAAAUUUUCUAUUAUAAAACAAAGAAAAACGAACA